AUGGAGAAGAUGCGGGCAGCAGGGGAGGCGCCGCCGACGCAGCAGCUGCCUCCGGGGUUCCGGUUCCACCCCACCGACGUGGAGCUGCUGCUGCAGUACCUCCGCCGCAUGGCCCUGGACCGCCCGCUGCCCGCCGCCGUCAUCCCCGUCGUCCACGCCGCCGCCAUGCCCGACCCCUGGGACCUCCCCGGCGCGAGCGAGGGGGAAUCGGCUUACUUCUUCAGCCAGAGGCAAGGCCGUGGCGGGCGGCGGAGGAGAGCGACCGGAGGGUACUGGAAGGCCACGGGGAAGGAGAAGCCGGUGUUCGUGCAGCUGCCGGUUGGCAAGCGGCUGCUCGUCGGCGUCAAGACGGCGCUGGCCUUCCACCGCGGCAAGUCGCGCACGGACUGGGUCAUGCACGAGUACCGCCUCGCCGGCGCGGCGGACCAGAACAAGCGUGCCAAUGGCGGCUCGCAGAGCAGCGAAUGGGUCGUGUGCCGGGUGUCUAUGAAAAGCAGAGCAAGGAGGUCGGCAGCGGGCGGCGAGACGACCGGCGAUCACCAGCAGGAGCAGCCAUCACCGUCGCCGUCUUCGACGUCGAGCUGCGUCACGGACCACACUUGUCACGCCCCAGACCAAGAAGAGGUCAGCAGCAGCACUAGCCAUUGCCAGCAGCAUCCGACACGCUAA
RNAcentral lists this ribosomal RNA (669 nucleotides) under Triticum aestivum (bread wheat). RNAcentral describes it as "partial small subunit ribosomal RNA". Lineage: Eukaryota; Viridiplantae; Streptophyta; Magnoliopsida; Poales; Poaceae. The record is from RNAcentral.